AAAGAGGAACAAACCCCAUCCUGAAUAACACAGUAGGCUGAUGCAUUGGAUGCUCAAGUGAAAGGGAAGCAAGAGUAAUUCCACCAGUUCCACAUGUCAGAAUUGAGAUGACUUACCAGAUACUCCAUUCAACAGUGCCCUGAGCCCGCAUUGCAAAACAGUUCUGAAUAAGCCCGUACGUGUCCUGCUUCCUGCGUUAUCUGCUGAAUCACAAAGAAGCCACCCUCACAACGGCGUUCCCAAACAGUGAUGGAAACUCUGGAGACUCAGGGCAGCAUUGCUCAUUACCUGAUCCUGAUCACUGCUGGAUUUCUCCCAGCUGAUUUAUGGCCUGGAAAGGCUCAGGGAUGGCCUUGGACAGCCCACACCUCAAAG
Melospiza melodia melodia is the source of this 375-nucleotide long non-coding RNA. RefSeq lists it as uncharacterized. The transcript has 3 exons. NCBI's taxonomy places the organism in Eukaryota, Metazoa, Chordata, Aves, Passeriformes, Passerellidae. The record is from RefSeq and is a predicted model, not a curated record.